AGAUUUGGAUAUCUUAGAAGAGUGUUCCUUUGUUCAACAUAGGGCCUCCAAAGCCUGUUCUGAGACAAAAUGCUUCCCUGCUUAUUUCCAAGCCUGCUGAAGACCGCUUUGAAAAUCCUUUCAAGAUGGAUCCUUUUGCUGCUCCCUCACAAGGUUUAAUUACAGCUCAACAACCACAAUUGUCUUCUGUUCCUUGUAAUGAUCCUUUUGGAAAUCCAUUUGCAUAAAUUAGUCUGCCCACCAAAUGUGAAAAGAAAACAAGUAUUAUGGAAUGCAGCUCUGAGAUGCUCACGGUCCAUCUCAUUUCUCUUCACCACAAGUGGGUGCUAUUGGCAAAACUAUAAUUGGAUUGUUGGGUCAAACAGAUACAAGGAACUAACUGGACACUGAGCUUACUGUCUUCAGUCUGCAUUAUCUGCCUCAUUCUUCAACUUUUGGAUUCAUUCAAAAGACCUUGGAACUUCUUAAGCCAAGGAAGCAAUUUGCUUGAGAGCAAACUGGAACCGCUGGUAAUUUUCAGCCCAUGUGGAUGGAAGAAAACACUCUAUGGUGUCUCUUAUUCCCUCACUUUCUGGUUUCAUCAAUGCCUAGAAGCACUAAAAGUGAAAAACGAAAGAUAAAUUAAUGGUUCUUUGUGGACAAAGACACACAGAUUUGUACUCACUUCUGCACAAGGGAAGACCAUGAUAUCAGCAGCACUGAGUUGCCAAAAACAAAAUAAAACAGUCAAGUGCUAUUGUAGAGUUUUCCUACUAAUAUUAUUAGAAUUUUAAAAAACACCUUCUAGCACUCUAUUUACGGCCCGCCCAAAUGUCAAGGUGAAAGAAUAUUUAAAUUAUGAAAUGGGCAAAUAUUGUAUUUUAUCCUAACUGGUGAGUUCUAAAAAUGCAAUUGCUAGCUGUAAAUUAUGCAAAUUGAAACAUCUUUGAAGGUAUCUUGUCCAGGGUAUCAAAUGCUGUUUUCCUAGAACAUAUUUUGUUAUGGAUAAAGAUAAGAUUCUCAAUUUUGGCAUCAGUGCUGAAAAAAAGGGUAGAUACAAAAAUAAGUGGGUUCUAAGAUAAGUUAUUAAACUGGAAAGCAAUUGUACUUUGAACAACUAGUCUGAGCAAAAUGAUAUUCGUGUCAAUUAUGAUAUGGCUAGAGGCUGAUGAUUCACUCUUUAAACAAUAAGUUUAAUAAACAAUAAGUUUUACAAAACUAUUGUUAACAGCCAGAUGUCUCUCCAGUACAGCAGUUACCAAUAUAAACUUGAAAUGGUGUUGAUGUUUAAAUGUUUAGGUGAAUGCAACAUGGUGAUCUACUUCCUAAAAAAUACCAAGUAUCUAGUGAUCUAGCUCUGUAUAAUAACUCUAUUGCACAUUCCUGUAAUACAAAGUUCUCCAUGUAUAUCUUAGCCUGAAAAAACAGAACUUUCUUCUGGACUGUGUUACACUGUAAAAAGUACUCGGGUGUUCUGGCAAUUAAAUGUAACUUCAUUUCAAAUUGGCACUCAGAGGAAAUGUUUG
RNAcentral lists this long non-coding RNA (1505 nucleotides) under Naja naja (Indian cobra). Its description in RNAcentral is "lncRNA (ENSNNAG00000009774.1)". Lineage: Eukaryota; Metazoa; Chordata; Lepidosauria; Squamata; Elapidae. The record is from RNAcentral.